RNA transcript from Mauremys reevesii (Reeves's turtle), 1677 nucleotides. It is a transcript of the gene named meiotic double-stranded break formation protein 4, with no coding region annotated. The record is from RefSeq and is a predicted model, not a curated record. The transcript is spliced from 8 exons. Lineage: Eukaryota; Metazoa; Chordata; Testudines; Geoemydidae.
CCGCGGCUUUGCGCGGACACGGAACCCCGCAGAAAGUCUCCAGGAGUGUCCCGCGCAGGGACCCGACACCGCGGGCAGCCCCGGGACCCACUCCGCCGCCUGUCCCCCUCCCGCGCGGGGGCUGCGCUCGGGUGCCGGCCCGGCGGGGCCCUGCAGGGGGCCGCGUGCCCUGCGCGGGGCCGAGCGAGGCGGGGGAGCGUGAGGGCGGCGGCUCCUAGACUCGAGGCCUUCGAUGGAGCCGGCGGGCAGCGCGGGCGACCCGGGCUCCUCUGCAGGAAUAAAAGACAGAAAAGAACAUCAAGCAUGGUACUUGAAAAUAUCAAAGCUGGCACUGGCUUUGGCAAUUAUCCACUCAAAGCCUCCAGAAAAAAGCAGCAAAGAAUACACAGAGCAUCUUGCUAAAAUUAUUUCUGGACAGGAUUUUAAAUGGAGAUCAAAAGUUGAAGCAUUAGAAGCUGAAGUCCUUAGAUUACGUCAGCAGCUUCUUUUGAACAAGAUCUGUCCAAGAUUCUGCUUGGAAAAUAGAAACCCAGAUGCCUUUACUGAAAUUCUGCUGGAUCAAGAACAUAUAAACCCUAUAAUAAAUUGCUCAAGUCAGCUAGAAGAUUCUGGGUGUGAUGUAUCUAGUGACUGUGUAUUUGAUACUGUAGACACAUCCCAUAACUUUGGGCACUCUGAGCAUAGUUGUAACACUUCAUCUUGUACAUUUAAUUCUGAAGUACUUCCCAUAUUGAAUACCCAUUGUACUAGCAAGGAAAAAACUCUGGCUGCUCACAUGCAGUUCUUGCAACAUCUACUUGAACUAAGAAAACUGACUGAAGCAGGAGGUCUGAAAACAGUCUUUACAAAGCUUGAAAGCGACUGCUCCACAAUAUCAGAUUCUGUUUCUCGAUUGCUUGAUGGCCUGCUUACUUUUUACAAGAAUCCUAAAUUUCCUGUCUCAAAUUUUCUGACAGAAGGAGUUUCUGUUUUGAUCAAUUUAAUAACUGAUGCUAAUUUAUCGAAUCAUGUUCUGAAAAUGUGUUUUGAGAAGCUAGAAGAAUUUAAGAAAAACCUAGUUCAGGUUAUUUUAAGCAACAGCAAUAUCAAUAGGUUUCAGGUGCAGUAUCCUGUGUCCCACUCUCUUGUUUUGCUGGGAAGGUGCAACAAAUUAAGAAAGUCUAUAAUAUCUCUGCUGUUAUCUGAAGUAAAUCAAUUUGCUGAUGAGUUGCAGCAAGCCCACCAGAUCGAGGCCAAGUAUAAUGUUACCCAGUAUGAAAAUAUUUUUUCUCUCUGCAUGAUUUUGGAACAGCUUCUUCAGAAGGGGACAGGAGAAGGGCAAGAGAUGCAGGCAGAGUGGACAGGGGAGCUUCAGCCAUCAACUUACCGCACUGAAGACACCGCAGAUUCAGGAGGAAGAUGGAUAUUGAGGGCCCCACAGGAGUAAAUAUAACAGAAACCAAGAGAAGAGGAUCUGCAAGAACUCCACUAAAGAUUUGAACUCUGAGGAUUGAUGAAUGGAAAAGCCUGUGAGGAAGGAUGGGAAGAGACAAAGCUGUUAGAAUCUGCUGUUAAAAGGGAGUGUCUCUCUAGCAAGGAGAAACUGGACCAGAACCAGAAAACAAGACUGGGCAGGAGGAGAAGAUGGUGCAGAAAGAUCUUGGAGGACACUGACUAAGACCCUACAAGCUCUCAGGA